This 253-nucleotide ribosomal RNA is filed under the name uncultured bacterium. Its description in RNAcentral is "partial 16S ribosomal RNA". It matches the Rfam family "Bacterial small subunit ribosomal RNA", at positions 524 to 776 of the family's 1533-position model. The record is from RNAcentral.
UACGAAGGGUGCAAGCGUUACUCGGAAUUACUGGGCGUAAAGGGUGCGUAGGUGGUUUUUUAAGUCCGUUGUGAAAUCCCUGGGCUCAACCUGGGAAUGGCAGUGGAUACUGGAAAGCUAGAGUGCGGUAGAGGGUAGUGGAAUUCCCGGUGUAGCAGUGAAAUGCGUAGAGAUCGGGAGGAACACCAGUGGCGAAGGCGGGUCUCUGGACAGUUCCUGACACUGAGGCACGAAGGCCAGGGGAGCAAACGGG